This 497-nucleotide ribosomal RNA is filed under the name uncultured bacterium. RNAcentral describes it as "partial 16S ribosomal RNA". It matches the Rfam family "Bacterial small subunit ribosomal RNA", at positions 28 to 507 of the family's 1533-position model. The record is from RNAcentral.
GAUGAACGCUGGCGGCGUGCCUAAUACAUGCAAGUCGAGCGAACAGACGAGGAGCUUGCUCCUCUGACGUUAGCGGCGGACGGGUGAGUAACACGUGGAUAACCUACCUAUAAGACUGGGAUAACUUCGGGAAACCGGAGCUAAUACCGUAUAAUAUAUUGAACCGCAUGGUUCAAUAGUGAAAGACGGUGUUGCUGUCACUUAUAGAUGGAUCCGCGCCGCAUUAGCUAGUUGGUAAGGUAACGGCUUACCAAGGCAACGAUGCGUAGCCGACCGGAGAGGGUGAUCGGCCACACUGGAACUGAGACACGGUCCAGACUCCUACGGGAGGCAGCAGUAGGGAAUCUUCCGCAAUGGGCGAAAGCCUGACGGAGCAACGCCGCGUGAGUGAUGAAGGUCUUCGGAUCGUAAAACUCUGUUAUUAGGGAAGAACAAAUGUGUAAGUAACUAUGCACGUCUUGACGGUACCUAAUCAGAAAGCCACGGCUAACUACGUG